Molecule: non-coding RNA, 308 nt
Organism: Paramuricea clavata
Lineage: Eukaryota; Metazoa; Cnidaria; Anthozoa; Malacalcyonacea; Plexauridae
Source: the annotation of a GenBank genome assembly
AAACACAAAAUAAUGUUUCACUAAAACAAAUCAUUUUCAUCUAAAAUACACUUCAGACAUUAAAAAAUUCACCCGCAUUUUAUAUAAAUACAAAACGUAAGAACAUUUUGGCCUAAUUCUUGAAUAUAGACAAUUUUUAAAUUUUCCAAGCUAUAAUUCCGAUGCUUUCCGAUUGGUAAGACAGCUUGUGACAGAUGGAAUAUUUGUGGUUUUCUUGAUGAAAAUUUCAUCAUUCUUGCUGUGGAUAUUGUAAAACGUGUUUUUGUGAAAAUAUCGUAAAAGAUGGAAGAAUAUGCCAGGGAACCAUG